Molecule: ribosomal RNA, 1033 nt
Filed under: Diplostomum ardeae
Lineage: Eukaryota; Metazoa; Platyhelminthes; Trematoda; Diplostomida; Diplostomidae
Description: 16S ribosomal RNA
Rfam family: Bacterial large subunit ribosomal RNA (bases 650-944)
Source: RNAcentral
GAGAGAGUUCUCUUAUUAAUGUGUGUUUCUUUGGUUAUAUUACCUUUUGCAUCAUGAUUUGUCGAUUUUGUUUAGAGAUUUCUAGCUAUUCGAAGGGUUGCGAUUUUUAGGGUGUUUGCUUUUUGAGCUUAGCGUUUUGCGGGUAGUAUUCGUGAAAACAUUCUAAGGUAGUGAUAAAUUAUUCGUGUUUCCUUAUAUCUAAUCGGAAAGUUUUUUUGUCUGUCCAGGUUGGCUGUGAUGAUAUGGUUAAUCCCUCAAGAGAAUUUAUUUAGUUAUUAAUUUCUGGGUUUAGAAGUUUCCUUGAUUUUUGAGUUUGUUAUAAAAAUUUUUUAUUACUAUUUAAUUCUUUGGUUUUGUUCUUUCUUUUAUUAAUUGGUUAUUUUAUGAUAGAAUAAGUAAAAUGUGAUUAGCUUCUUUUCCUCUCGAAGUGUGUCGGUCUGUUUAUUAAAAACAUUUCCAUUUUUGAAAUUUAAAUGGUAUUUACCUGCCCGAUGUUGAUUUAUCAAUGGCCGCAGUAUAUUGACUGUGCGAAGGUAGCAUAAUUAGUUGCCUCAUAAUUGGAGGAUUGUUUGAAUGGUUUGACCAGAUAUUCUUUAAAAUGGAGUCUUUUUUUGAAAUUGAUUUUAAGGUGCAGAAUCCUUGAUUAUAUAAUGGGACGGAAAGACCCCGAGAUCUUUAUAUAUGACUAUAUUUAUUUGGGGUAAAGGUAAAUUUUUUAUUUAUUUUUUGAUCCUUUAGAGUUAGUAGGGUUAUAGGUAUAGUUACCUCGGGGAUAACUGUGUAAGAAAUGAGUAGAGAUCUUAUCGAUUCAUUUAUUUGCCACCUCGAUGUUGACUUGAGGAUUUGCAUGGGCGCAGCAGUUUGUGUAAAAGGUCUGUUCGACCUUUAAUUCCUCUCAUGAGUUGAGUUAAGACCGGCGUGAGCCAGGUCGGUUCUUAUCUAUUUUUCAAUUUAUUUAGUACGAAAGGAAUAAUAUUUUUUUAUGUUGAGCGUGGACUACAGUUGUGGGUUUACUUUGCAGAGGUAAUUUAAA